RNAcentral lists this long non-coding RNA (637 nucleotides) under Bos taurus (domestic cattle). RNAcentral describes it as "long non-coding RNA NONBTAT006578". Lineage: Eukaryota; Metazoa; Chordata; Mammalia; Artiodactyla; Bovidae. The record is from RNAcentral.
UUUGAGACAUAUAUUCCAUUUUCUAGGGUAAGAAAUCACUCUGGUAUAUGUCAUAGGCCACAUCAGGUAAUUUGAAACAAGCUGGGAUGUAAAUAUAUGUAAAUUGUUGUUCUUCAAGAAGUUAAUUCCUAUCCAUGCACAGAAGAUUUAUUUUUCAUUCAAAUUAUUCAGAUAGAAAAUGAUAAUAUUUUACCAUUAUCUUUUGUUGAAUUUGAAUCCUUAUUGUAAAUUAUUUUCUAGGGGAAGGAAUUGGGGGACCAUUUUCUUAGAUGUUAGAGCAAUAUAAUAUAAGCUUACUGUGUGAAUUCAAUAGACCCACAAAUUCAGAGGCCAAAUAAAUUGACCAAGUAAUUUAAUACAAUUUAAUACAAUUGUUAUAGCACUUUCCAGUUUUGGAUAUUCAUCACAUAUAAUAUUUCCAUAAUGCUUUCAAAAAACUUUAUAUUAUGGAAAAACUUCAAACACAUAGAGAAAAUAGUAUAGACACCAUCUAGCUUCAAUAAUUUUCAGUAUUUUGUACAUUUUGGUUUAUUUUUCCACCCAAUUUCUGAUAAGAAAUUUAAGAGCUGAAAAAAUAUAUAUGCAAUAAACUCAGUUAUUUUGAAGUUAAUUGCAAGGUCUCUAUCUUUCCUAACAC